AGGGCGCACGGUGGAUGCCUUGGCACUAGAAGCCGAUGAAGGACGUUACUAACGACGAUAUGCUUUGGGGAGCUGUAAGUAAGCUUUGAUCCAGAGAUUUCCGAAUGGGGAAACCCAGCAUGAGUUAUGUCAUGUUAUCGAUAUGUGAAUACAUAGCAUAUCAGAAGGCACACCCGGAGAACUGAAACAUCUUAGUACCCGGAGGAAGAGAAAGAAAAUUCGAUUCCCUUAGUAGCGGCGAGCGAAACGGGAAGAGCCCAAACCAACAAGCUUGCUUGUUGGGGUUGUAGGACACUCUAUACGGAGUUACAAAGGACGACAUUAGACGAAUCAUCUGGAAAGAUGAAUCAAAGAAGGUAAUAAUCCUGUAGUCGAAAAUGUUGUCUCUCUUGAGUGGAUCCUGAGUACGACGGAGCACGUGAAAUUCCGUCGGAAUCUGGGAGGACCAUCUCCUAAGGCUAAAUACUCUCUAGUGACCGAUAGUGAACCAGUACCGUGAGGGAAAGGUGAAAAGCACCCCGGAAGGGGAGUGAAAUAGAACCUGAAACCGUGUGCUUACAAGUAGUCAGAGCCCGUUAAUGGGUGAUGGCGUGCCUUUUGUAGAAUGAACCGGCGAGUUACGAUUUGAUGCAAGGUUAAGCAGUAAAUGUGGAGCCGUAGCGAAAGCGAGUCUGAAUAGGGCGUUUAGUAUUUGGUCGUAGACCCGAAACCAGGUGAUCUACCCUUGGUCAGGUUGAAGUUCAGGUAACACUGAAUGGAGGACCGAACCGACUUACGUUGAAAAGUGAGCGGAUGAACUGAGGGUAGCGGAGAAAUUCCAAUCGAACCUGGAGAUAGCUGGUUCUCUCCGAAAUAGCUUUAGGGCUAGCCUCAAGUGAUGAUUAUUGGAGGUAGAGCACUGUUUGGACGAGGGGCCCCUCUCGGGUUACCGAAUUCAGACAAACUCCGAAUGCCAAUUAAUUUAACUUGGGAGUCAGAACAUGGGUGAUAAGGUCCGUGUUCGAAAGGGAAACAGCCCAGACCACCAGCUAAGGUCCCAAAAUAUAUGUUAAGUGGAAAAGGAUGUGGCGUUGCCCAGACAACUAGGAUGUUGGCUUAGAAGCAGCCAUCAUUUAAAGAGUGCGUAAUAGCUCACUAGUCGAGUGACACUGCGCCGAAAAUGUACCGGGGCUAAACAUAUUACCGAAGCUGUGGAUUGUCCUUUGGACAAUGGUAGGAGAGCGUUCUAAGGGCGUUGAAGCAUGAUCGUAAGGACAUGUGGAGCGCUUAGAAGUGAGAAUGCCGGUGUGAGUAGCGAAAGACGGGUGAGAAUCCCGUCCACCGAUUGACUAAGGUUUCCAGAGGAAGGCUCGUCCGCUCUGGGUUAGUCGGGUCCUAAGCUGAGGCCGACAGGCGUAGGCGAUGGAUAACAGGUUGAUAUUCCUGUACCACCUAUAAUCGUUUUAAUCGAUGGGGGGACGCAGUAGGAUAGGCGAAGCGUGCGAUUGGAUUGCACGUCUAAGCAGUAAGGCUGAGUAUUAGGCAAAUCCGGUACUCGUUAAGGCUGAGCUGUGAUGGGGAGAAGACAUUGAGUCUUCGAGUCGUUGAUUUCACACUGCCGAGAAAAGCCUCUAGAUAGAAAAUAGGUGCCCGUACCGCAAACCGACACAGGUAGUCAAGAUGAGAAUUCUAAGGUGAGCGAGCGAACUCUCGUUAAGGAACUCGGCAAAAUGACCCCGUAACUUCGGGAGAAGGGGUGCUCUUUAGGGUUAACGCCCAGAAGAGCCGCAGUGAAUAGGCCCAAGCGACUGUUUAUCAAAAACACAGGUCUCUGCUAAACCGUAAGGUGAUGUAUAGGGGCUGACGCCUGCCCGGUGCUGGAAGGUUAAGAGGAGUGGUUAGCUUCUGCGAAGCUACGAAUCGAAGCCCCAGUAAACGGCGGCCGUAACUAUAACGGUCCUAAGGUAGCGAAAUUCCUUGUCGGGUAAGUUCCGACCCGCACGAAAGGCGUAACGAUUUGGGCACUGUCUCAACGAGAGACUCGGUGAAAUCAUAGUACCUGUGAAGAUGCAGGUUACCCGCGACAGGACGGAAAGACCCCGUGGAGCUUUACUGUAGCCUGAUAUUGAAAUUCGGCACAGCUUGUACAGGAUAGGUAGGAGCCUUUGAAACGUGAGCGCUAGCUUACGUGGAGGCGCUGGUGGGAUACUACCCUAGCUGUGUUGGCUUUCUAACCCGCACCACUUAUCGUGGUGGGAGACAGUGUCA
This 2247-nucleotide ribosomal RNA is filed under the name Staphylococcus aureus. RNAcentral's name for it is "bacterial LSU rRNA". It matches the Rfam family "Bacterial large subunit ribosomal RNA", at positions 14 to 2259 of the family's 2925-position model. Lineage: Bacteria; Bacillati; Bacillota; Bacilli; Caryophanales; Staphylococcaceae. The record is from RNAcentral.